GUUUGCUGGAGGAUCAGGUCUGUCGGGACAGUUUGCUGGAGGAUCAGGUCUGUCGGGACAGUUUGCUGAAGGAUCAGGUCUGUCGGGACAGUUUGCUGGAGGAUCAGGUCUGUCGGGAGAGUUUGCUGGAGGAUCAGGUCUGUCGGGACAGUUUGCUGGAGGAUCACGUCUGUCGGGACAGUUUGCUGGAGGAUCAGG
This 198-nucleotide long non-coding RNA is filed under the name Haliotis rubra (blacklip abalone). RNAcentral's name for it is "uncharacterized LOC124290176, transcript variant X3". The record is from RNAcentral. Lineage: Eukaryota; Metazoa; Mollusca; Gastropoda; Lepetellida; Haliotidae.